Molecule: ribosomal RNA, 253 nt
Filed under: uncultured bacterium
Lineage: Bacteria
Description: partial 16S ribosomal RNA
Rfam family: Bacterial small subunit ribosomal RNA
Source: RNAcentral
UACGGGGGGAGCAAGCGUUGUUCGGAUUUACUGGGCGUAAAGGGUGCGUAGGUGGUCGGGUAAGUCUGAUGUGAAAUCUCCGAGCUUAACUCGGAAACUGCAUCGGAUACUAUUCGGCUCGAGGGUUGGAGGGGGGACUGGAAUGCUUGGUGUAGCAGUGAAAUGCGUAGAUAUCAAGCGGAACACCAGUGGCGAAGGCGAGUCCCUGGACAACUCCUGACACUGAGGCACGAAAGCUAGGGGAGCAAACAGG